Halichondria panicea is the source of this 1392-nucleotide long non-coding RNA. RefSeq lists it as uncharacterized. The record is from RefSeq and is a predicted model, not a curated record. The transcript is spliced from 4 exons. NCBI's taxonomy places the organism in Eukaryota, Metazoa, Porifera, Demospongiae, Suberitida, Halichondriidae.
UUAAUUAACCUGUUGCUUGUUAAUGUUGGAUGUUCAGGAAUAAUUUAUGAGUAACAUUACAGGUUUAUUCCACUUGCUAGGUAUACUAAAUAAGCUGGGUAGGUUAGCUGAGCUUCUCUACAGUGGGGUAAGCAUAUACAGUGGUCUGUUCAGGCAAUUCCUGAUUAAAAAAAUUUUUGACCUGUAAUAUUAGCAUAUUUUUCGUACCACACAGAAUACAAGUACGACUGAUUUGGACGAUGCUUGGAAUGUAUUGAGGAGGACAUCUGUUGGAUGUAAUACACAAAAAUAAUGUGGCUUAUUGUGUGCUCACAUCUCUCCAACUAGUACUAUUUUGUGGUUUUUUAUACAGCAUUUUCAACGAUACAUUUCUCGACUCUCAAUGGAUCGACACGAAAAAGUUAAACAAUUACGUAUAGAUGUUCAUCAAUCCUAUAAGAUAGCACUGAACAUGUUCAAAUUCAUCUCAUACUUUUGCAACAAUUUGUCAGUUCAGUUUGCUGUGGCAUGUAAAUUUGUAUAAAUUUGUUAGUGUUGAAGUUUCUAAGCAAAGCCACAUGGCGGCUUUGUGGCUAUAUUUAGUUCCUGCCAUGUGUAAUAGAUUGGUGCAGGAAGCAGGAAACAAACUGCAAAGGGAAGAGAGUUAUAAAAAAAUGCUACUUUUGCGCAAGCAAUUGCGAAUAGCUCAUUAAUAUAUUCAUGAGAAAAUAAAACUCCACAUAGGAUGCGCUGAAACCAUUGCGGUUCGACUGGGGAAGAAACUGGUGAAGACCCAGUGAGGGUAGAGUAUAGCGGGGCAAGAGUGAGGUGGUGUUGGUCUAGCCGUACUGAGGAACACACUAUGGAGCAGAACCCAGCUCAGCAUUUCAAAUGCCCAGACUAAACAAGCUAAAAAUGAAGAAACGCCUUAGAAGUGAUGACAACUGGCUGGAGGACAAAGGCUCGGGCAAUGUGGUUGUCGCAAAUACUAAGAGGUUUAAAGGUCGUCGUGUGGACUUCAUACAACAGUGGAGAGGGCUAUGUGAUUCGUAUCAGCGGUGGCAAUGACAAGUAGGGCUUCCCCAUGAAGCAAGGUGUCCUCACUAAUGGCCGUGUUAAGCUCCUCCUCAAGAAGGGGCACAGACCCAGACGCACUUGAGAGAGGAAACGCAAGUCAGUGAGAGGCUGCAUAGUGGACAGCAACCUGAGUGUGCUCAAUCUAGUCAUCAUCAAGAAAGAUCUGUGCCAGGCCCUACACUGUGUUCCGAUGGUGUCCUGGUGCUAAGAUGCGCUACAAGAGAACAGAGGUCUGCCAAUCAUGUGCCCAACUCAAUAACGUCUGUCAAACCUGUCUCCUUGUACCGCCCACCGCGGAUCAGGAUCUCCUGGACUCCAACGGAAUUUUCAACCAGC